CCAGAACGCGGUGAUACCACCCGCACGUAUAGACGGACAAGAAUAGGCUUCGGCUUUGUGUCUUAGCAGGCGAUUCUUCCACGGCGCUCGAAGCGCGUCGUGGUAUUUCGCGUAUUGUAAUUUCAACACGAGCGGGGUCAAAUCCUUUGCAGACGACUUAGCUGUGCGAAACGGUCCUGUAAGCAGUAGAGUAGCCUUGUUGUUACGAUCUGCUGAGGGUAAGCCGUCCUUCGCCUCGAUUU
This 242-nucleotide ribosomal RNA is filed under the name Fusarium sp. UMAF_0927. Its description in RNAcentral is "partial 28S ribosomal RNA". It matches the Rfam family "Eukaryotic large subunit ribosomal RNA", at positions 3147 to 3399 of the family's 3401-position model. The record is from RNAcentral. Lineage: Eukaryota; Fungi; Ascomycota; Sordariomycetes; Hypocreales; Nectriaceae.